GCCUUCUUAGCUGAGUCGGUAGAUCAUCAGACUUUUAAUCUGAGGGUCGUAGGUUCGAGUCCCUUAGAGUGCC
Molecule: transfer RNA, 73 nt
Filed under: Toxocara canis (dog roundworm)
Lineage: Eukaryota; Metazoa; Nematoda; Chromadorea; Rhabditida; Toxocaridae
Rfam family: tRNA
About the family: Transfer RNA (tRNA) molecules are approximately 80 nucleotides in length. Their secondary structure includes four short double-helical elements and three loops (D, anti-codon, and T loops).
Source: Rfam by way of RNAcentral